Molecule: ribosomal RNA, 502 nt
Filed under: uncultured bacterium
Lineage: Bacteria
Description: bacterial SSU rRNA
Rfam family: Bacterial small subunit ribosomal RNA
Source: RNAcentral
GAUGAACGCUAGCUACAGGCUUAACACAUGCAAGUCGAGGGGAAACGAUAUUGGAAGCUUGCUUCUGAUAGGCGUCGACCGGCGCACGGGUGAGUAACGCGUAUCCAACCUGCCCAUCACUUGGGGAUAACCUUGUGAAAGUAAGACUAAUACCCAAUGACGUCUCUAGAAGACAUCUGAAAGAGAUUAAAGAUUUAUCGGUGAUGGAUGGGGAUGCGUCUGAUUAGCUUGUUGGCGGGGUAACGGCCCACCAAGGCGACGAUCAGUAGGGGUUCUGAGAGGAAGGUCCCCCACAUUGGAACUGAGACACGGUCCAAACUCCUACGGGAGGCAGCAGUGAGGAAUAUUGGUCAAUGGACGAGAGUCUGAACCAGCCAAGUAGCGUGCAGGAUGACGGCCCUAUGGGUUGUAAACUGCUUUUAUAAGGGAAUAAAAGUGGGAGUCGUGACUCUUUUUGCAUGUACCUUAUGAAUAAGGACCGGCUAAUUCCGUGCCAGCAGCC